ACGAACGCUGGCGGCGUGCUUAACACAUGCAAGUCAAGGGGAAAGCCUGCUUCGGUGGGUAAGUAUACUGGCGGACGGGUGAGUAACGCGUAGGUAAUCUACCCUUAUGUUUGGGAUAACCUUGCGAAGCGGGGCUAAUACCGGAUGUGGUUCAGAUAAUUCCUGUUAUUUGGAUUAAAGCUGCUUGGGGUGACUCAGGUAGCGCAUAAGGAUGGGCCUGCGUUCCAUUAGCUAGUUGGUGGGGUAAAGGCCUACCAAGGCGACGAUGGAUAGCUGGUCUGAGAGGACGAUCAGCCACACUGGGACUGAGAUACGGCCCAGACUCCUACGGGAGGCAGCAGUGGGGAAUAUUGCGCAAUGCCCGCAAGGGUGACGCAGCGACGCCGCGUGGGUGAAGAAGCUCUACGGAGUGUAAAUCCCUGUCAGAGGGGAAGAACGGGUCAUAUUCGUAAGGGUCUGGCUGUGACGGUACCCUCAGAGGAAGCUCCGGCUAACUCCGUG
This 501-nucleotide ribosomal RNA is filed under the name uncultured bacterium. Its description in RNAcentral is "bacterial SSU rRNA". It matches the Rfam family "Bacterial small subunit ribosomal RNA", at positions 29 to 507 of the family's 1533-position model. The record is from RNAcentral.